Molecule: long non-coding RNA, 2032 nt
Organism: Musa acuminata AAA Group (dessert banana)
Lineage: Eukaryota; Viridiplantae; Streptophyta; Magnoliopsida; Zingiberales; Musaceae
Exons: 2
Source: RefSeq, a predicted model, not a curated record
AAGAACCCUUUGAUGAUCACUUAUUCGAUGAAUGUAAUGACUCAACAAAAUCUAGAAAAAGAGUUGUCCUUCGGUCAAGAAAAAAAUAAGUCCGAAGGAAGAAAAAUCGUUUGAUUUAGGAAAUAUCUAUUUGAAAAUUUCUGAGUCCGGUUGCGAGGUCUGAAUAGUAGGUAUGAAUCAUAGUUUUAAUAUUUCUUUUAUUAAUCUAUUCUAUAUUCUAUAUAUAUUCCGUGCUCCAGAUACUAGAAUAACUAUCCGACGAAAUAGAAUCAUCUCGAUAGAGAUAACAGGACCAUUCUCUGUAUUAUCAAUAGGAUCAAUUAUAACAAGUCACACACUCAUAUUCCGGAGAUACCGAAACAAAUAAAUUCCACGGUCGAACUACCAGAAUGGUCUAGAAAUCCGAGUUUUAAGUAAAGUAAUUUUUUUGAUUGAAAACUAGGACUUCAAAGUUCUUAUAAACUUAACUCAUUGUAAUUCCAUCCAGUAAAACGGAAGAAUUAUAAAUUUCCAAAAUAAUAGAUAGGAAUACCGUAAAUAGGGCCAUUGCGACUCCCAUUAAUGGUGUAGUCCCCCAGCCCGGAGCUACUUUACCAUAUUCCGAAUUCAAUGGUUUCAAUAAAUUCCCUACAGUAGUUUGUCUUGGCCCAGAUCUAGAACUAUCCUCAACGGUUUGUGUAGCCAUAAAUCCUAUUUAAUCAUUGGUUGAGAUCUGUUGACUUUGUAUACCAUUCCGUUGUAGUUGUAAAUAAACGAUCUUAUCGUAGAUCCAUUGUGAUCUUGAAAUUGUCUAAAAAUGGAAACAGCAACCCUAGUCGCCAUCUUCAUAUCUGGUUUACUUGUAAGCUUUACUGGGUACGCCUUAUAUACCGCUUUUGGGCAACCCUCACAACAACUAAGAGAUCCAUUCGAAGAACACGGGGACUAGUUGAAAUAAUGAAAAAUUAUUUCAUUUUUUAGUUGGAACCUUAGGCGGUUCUCGAAAAAAGAUAGCGAAAAAAAUUAUCCCUAAAGUCGAGACUAAAAGGAAUGUAUAAACCAAUGCUUCCAUAGAUUCGAUCGUGGUUUACAAUUAUAGCUUCCACACCUAUUCAUUUGGCAUCAUUUACCAUAUAAAGAAAAGGAAAGAGUCAAAGAAAAGAUGGUGAUUCAAGUCAAGAUUUCUUCAGUACCCUAACCCUAUGUCAAAUCAAAAAAAGAGGCGAAAGAUACCAGAGCAAUGUUGUAUCAGACUACUUGUCUCUUUGUAGUUGGAUCCCCAAGUUUUUGGAAUGCUCCAAAUUCCACUUGAGCAUCCAAAUCUGGAUCAAUGCCAGCAAAAACAUCUCUGAACAAGGUUCUAGCGCCAUGCCAAAUGUGUCCGAAAAAGAAGAGCAAAGCAAACGUAGCAUGGCCAAAAGUGAACCAACCCCUUGGACUGCUACGAAAAACGCCAUCAGAUUUCAAAGUAGCCCGAUCUAAUUCAAAAAUUUCACCUAAUUGGGCACGUCUAGCAUAUUUUUUUACAGUCGCAGGAUCACUAUAACUGACUCCAUUGAGUUCGCCACCAUAGAACUCAACAGUUACACCUACUUGUUCAACACUAUACUUUGAUUCUGCCCUUCUAAAAGGAACAUCGGCUCUAACAAUUCCGUCUCCAUCUACCAAAACUACCGGAAAUGUUUCAAAAAAGGUAGGCAUACGACGUACAAAAAGCUCGCGCCCUUCUUUAUCUCUAAAGACGGGGUGUCCUAACCACCCAACAGCUAUUCCAUCCCCGUUGUCCAUUGACCCUGCUCUGAAUAAUCCCCCUUUUGCUGGAUUAUUACCAAUGUAAUCAUAAAAAGCUAAUUUUUCGGGAAUUUUAGACCAAGCUUCCGAUAAACUCAGAUUUUGGGCUAGUCCGGCGCUAACUCUUCGAUAUAUUUCUUGCUGAAAGUAUCCCUGAUCCCACUGAUAACGAGUGGGACCAAAUAAUUCGAUUGGGGUAGUUGCUGAACCAUACCACAUAGUUCCAGCAACAACGAAAGCUGCAAAAAAAACAGCAGCGAUA